UCUCCGUUGGUGAACCAGCGGAGGGAUCAUUACCGAGUUUACAACUCCCAAACCCAAUGUGAACGUUACCAAACUGUUGCCUCGGCGGGAUCUCUGCCCCGGGUGCGUCGCAGCCCCGGACCAAGGCGCCCGCCGGAGGACCAACCAAAACUCUUAUUGUAUGCCCCCUCGCGGGUUUUUUACUAUCUGAGCCAUCUCGGCGCCCCUCGUGGGCGUUUCGAAAAUGAAUCAAAACUUUCAACAACGGAUCUCUUGGUUCUGGCAUCGAUGAAGAACGCAGCGAAAUGCGAUAAGUAAUGUGAAUUGCAGAAUUCAGUGAAUCAUCGAAUCUUUGAACGCACAUUGCGCCCGCCAGUAUUCUGGCGGGCAUGCCUGUCCGAGCGUCAUUUCAACCCUCGAACCCCUCCGGGGGGUCGGCGUUGGGGAUCGGCCCUUUACGGGGCCGGCCCCGAAAUACAGUGGCGGUCUCGCCGCAGCCUCUCCUGCGCAGUAGUUUGCACACUCGCAUCGGGAGCGCGGCGCGUCCACAGCCGUUAAACACCCCAAACUUCUGAAAUGUUGACCUCGGAUCAGGUAGGAAUACCCGCUGAACUUAA
Molecule: ribosomal RNA, 596 nt
Filed under: Trichoderma virens
Lineage: Eukaryota; Fungi; Ascomycota; Sordariomycetes; Hypocreales; Hypocreaceae
Description: eukaryotic LSU rRNA
Rfam family: 5.8S ribosomal RNA (bases 233-386)
Source: RNAcentral